Molecule: ribosomal RNA, 468 nt
Filed under: uncultured bacterium
Lineage: Bacteria
Description: bacterial SSU rRNA
Rfam family: Bacterial small subunit ribosomal RNA
Source: RNAcentral
AGGCUUAACACAUGCAAGUCGAGCGGUAGCAGAUCUAGCUUGCUAGAUGCUGACGAGCGGCGGACGGGUGAGUAACGCGUAGGAACCUGCCCAGUAGUGGGGGAUAGCCCGGGGAAACUCGGAUUAAUACCGCAUACGCUCUACGGAGGAAAGAGGGGGCUUCGGCUCUCGCUAUUGGAUGGGCCUGCGUGAGAUUAGCUAGUUGGUGAGGUAAUGGCUCACCAAGGCGACGAUCUCUAGCUGGUCUGAGAGGAUGAUCAGCCACACUGGGACUGAGACACGGCCCAGACUCCUACGGGAGGCAGCAGUGGGGAAUAUUGCACAAUGGGCGCAAGCCUGAUGCAGCCAUGCCGCGUGUGUGAAGAAGGCUUUCGGGUUGUAAAGCACUUUCAGUGGGGAGGAAGGCCUCGUAGUUAAUAGCUGCGAGGAUUGACGUUACCCACAGAAGAAGCACCGGCUAACUCCGUG